UAACACGUGGGCAAUCUGCCCUUCACUCUGGGACAAGCCCUGGAAACGGGGUCUAAUACCGGAUAACACUCUGUCCCGCAUGGGACGGGGUUAAAAGCUCCGGCGGUGAAGGAUGAGCCCGCGGCCUAUCAGCUUGUUGGUGGGGUAAUGGCCUACCAAGGCGACGACGGGUAGCCGGCCUGAGAGGGCGACCGGCCACACUGGGACUGAGACACGGCCCAGACUCCUACGGGAGGCAGCAGUGGGGAAUAUUGCACAAUGGGCGAAAGCCUGAUGCAGCGACGCCGCGUGAGGGAUGACGGCCUUCGGGUNUGUAAACCUCUUUCAGCAGGGAAGAAGCGAAAGUGACGGUACCUGCAGAAGAAGCGCCGGCUAACUACGUGCCAGCAGCCGCGGUANNAUACGUAGGGCGCAAGCGUUGUCCGGAAUUAUUGGGCGUAAAGAGCUCGUAGGCGGCUUGUCACGUCGGAUGUGAAAGCCCGGGGCUUAACCCCGGGUCUGCAUUCGAUACGGGCUAGCUAGAGUGUGGUAGGNGGAGAUCGGAAUUCCUGGUGUAGCGGUGAAAUGCGCAGAUAUCAGGAGGAACACCGGUGGCGAAGGCGGAUCUCUGGGCCAUUACUGACGCUGAGGAGCGAAAGCGUGGGGAGCGAACAGGAUUAGAUACCCUGGUAGUCCACGCCGUAAACGUUGGGAACUAGGUGUUGGCGNNACAUUCCACGUCGUCGGUGCCGCAGCUAACGCAUUAAGUUCCCCGCCUGGGGAGUACGGCCGCAAGGCUAAAACUCAAAGGAAUUGACGGGGGCCCGNCACAAGCGGCGGAGCAUGUGGCUUAAUUCGACGCAACGCGAAGA
RNAcentral lists this ribosomal RNA (851 nucleotides) under Streptomyces sp. SB6. Its description in RNAcentral is "bacterial SSU rRNA". It matches the Rfam family "Bacterial small subunit ribosomal RNA", at positions 111 to 967 of the family's 1533-position model. Lineage: Bacteria; Bacillati; Actinomycetota; Actinomycetes; Kitasatosporales; Streptomycetaceae. The record is from RNAcentral.